Molecule: ribosomal RNA, 484 nt
Filed under: uncultured bacterium
Lineage: Bacteria
Description: partial 16S ribosomal RNA
Rfam family: Bacterial small subunit ribosomal RNA
Source: RNAcentral
GACGAACGCUGGCGGCGUGCUUAACACAUGCAAGUCGAACGAUGAAACCGGAGCUUGCUCCGGUGGAUUAGUGGCGAACGGGUGAGUAACACGUGAGUAACCUGCCCUUGACUCUGGGAUAACUGCGGGAAACUGUAGCUAAUACCGGAUACGACCCUCGGCGGCAUCGCCAGGGGGUGGAAAGAAUUUCGGUCAAGGAUGGACUCGCGGCCUAUCAGCUAGUUGGUGAGGUAACGGCUGACCAAGGCGACGACGGGUAGCCGGCCUGCGAGGGUGACCGGCCACACUGGGACUGAGACACGGCCCAGACGCCUACGUGAGGCAGCAGUGGGGAAUAUUGCACAGUGGGCGCAAGCCUGAUGCAGCAGCGCCGCGUGAGGGAUGACGGCCUUCGGGUUGUAAACCUCUUUUAGUAGGGAAGAAGCGAAAGUGACGGUACCUGCAGAAAAAGCACCGGCUAACUACGUGCCAGCCGCCGCGGUAA